AGAGUUUGAUCAUGGCUCAGGAUGAACGCUAGCGACAGGCUUAACACAUGCAAGUCGAGGGGCAGCAUGAUUUGUAGCAAUACAGAUUGAUGGCGACCGGCGCACGGGUGAGUAACGCGUAUGCAACUUACCUAUCAGAGGGGGAUAGCCCGGCGAAAGUCGGAUUAAUACCCCAUAAAACAGGGGUCCCGCAUGGGAAUAUUUGUUAAAGAUUCAUCGCUGAUAGAUAGGCAUGCGUUCCAUUAGGCAGUUGGCGGGGUAACGGCCCACCAAACCGACGAUGGAUAGGGGUUCUGAGAGGAAGGUCCCCCACAUUGGUACUGAGACACGGACCAAACUCCUACGGGAGCAGCA
This 354-nucleotide ribosomal RNA is filed under the name uncultured bacterium. RNAcentral describes it as "bacterial SSU rRNA". It matches the Rfam family "Bacterial small subunit ribosomal RNA", at positions 8 to 353 of the family's 1533-position model. The record is from RNAcentral.